AAUGAACGCUGGCGGCGUGCCUAACACAUGCAAGCCGAACGGGAAAGCCCGCAAGGGUGAGUACAGUGGCGCACGGGUGAGUAAUACAUAGGAAUCUGCCUCUGAGUGAAGAAUACCCUAGAGAAAUUUAGGUUAAUACCGCAUAAGCCCAGAAAUGGGGAAAGGUGGCCUCAAGCUACCGCUGAGAGAUGAGCCUAUGGCCUAUUAGCUAGUUGGUAGGGUAAAAGCCUACCAAGGCGAGGAUGGGUAGCCGGCCUGAGAGGGUGUACGGCCACACUGGAACUGAGACACGGUCCAGACUCCUACGGGAGGCAGCAGUGGGGAAUUUUGGACAAUGGGCGAAAGCCUGAUCCAGCCAUGCCGCGUGCAGGAUGAAGGCCUUCGGGUUGUAAACUGCUUUUGUACGGAACGAAAAGGUUUGGCCUAAUAAGCUGAGCUCAUGACGGUACCGUAAGAAUAAGCACCGGCUAACUACGUGCCAGCCACCGCCGUAA
Molecule: ribosomal RNA, 494 nt
Filed under: uncultured bacterium
Lineage: Bacteria
Description: partial 16S ribosomal RNA
Rfam family: Bacterial small subunit ribosomal RNA
Source: RNAcentral